CCGGCACGGUGAGUAACACGUAUCCAACCUGCCGUCUACUCUUGCCAGCCUCUGAAGGAAGAUUAAUCCAGGAUGGCAUCAUGAGUUCACAUGUCCGCAUGAUUAAAGGUAUUUUCCGGUAGACGAUGGGGAUGCGUUCCAUUAGAUAGUAGGCGGGGUAACGGCCCACCUAGUCAACGAUGGAUAGGGGUUCUGAGAGGAAGGUCCCCCACAUUGGAACUGAGACACGGUCCAA
Molecule: ribosomal RNA, 235 nt
Filed under: uncultured bacterium
Lineage: Bacteria
Description: partial 16S ribosomal RNA
Rfam family: Bacterial small subunit ribosomal RNA
Source: RNAcentral